Molecule: ribosomal RNA, 254 nt
Filed under: uncultured bacterium
Lineage: Bacteria
Description: partial 16S ribosomal RNA
Rfam family: Bacterial small subunit ribosomal RNA
Source: RNAcentral
UACGUAGGGCGCAAGCGUUGUCCGGAAUUAUUGGGCGUAAAGAGCUCGUAGGCGGUUUUGUCGCGUCUGCUGUGAAAAUCCAGGGCUUAACCCUGGGCCUGCAGUGGGUACGGGCAGACUAGAGUGCGGUAGGGGAGAUCGGAAUUCCUGGUGUAGCGGUGAAAUGCGCAGAUAUCAGGAGGAACACCGGUGGCGAAGGCGGAUCUCUGGGCCGUAACUGACGCUGAGGAGCGAAAGCAUGGGUAGCGAACAGG